CCUACGGGAGGCAGCAGUCGAGAAUCAUUCACAAUGGGGGAAACCCUGAUGGUGCGACGCCGCGUGGGGGAAUGAAGGUCUUCGGAUUGUAAACCCCUGUCAUGUGGGAGCAAAUUAAAAAGAUAGUACCACAAGAGGAAGAGACGGCUAACUCUGGUCCAGCAGCCGCGGUAAUACAGAGGUCUCAAGCGUUGUUCGGACUCACUGGGCGUAAAGCGUGCGUAGGCUGUUUCGUAAGUCGUGUGUGAAAGGCGCGGGCUCAACCCGCGGACGGCACAUGAUACUGCGAGACUAGAGUAAGGGAGGGGGAACCGGAAUUCUCGGUGUAGCAGUGAAAUGCGUAGAUAUCGAGAGGAACACUAGUGGCGAAGGCGGGUUCCUGGACAUUAACUGACGCUGAGGCACGAAGGCCAGGGGAGCGAAAGGGAUUAGAUACCCCAGUAGUC
RNAcentral lists this ribosomal RNA (446 nucleotides) under uncultured bacterium. RNAcentral describes it as "partial 16S ribosomal RNA". It matches the Rfam family "Bacterial small subunit ribosomal RNA", at positions 338 to 795 of the family's 1533-position model. The record is from RNAcentral.